GCUCCUCCCUUCCCGCCCCCACCUCCCCAGGGGCCGGGGCGGGGCGAGGACCUCCGGCCGCGGCGUCCGGUCACUGCGCCCCCAUCCUCGCGGCUGGGCUCCCGGAGGGCAGAGAAAAGGAUGGGGAUCCGGGUUUCAACCCCAGGUCUGCACUCAGGCGCUGGGGCUUCGGCCAAGUUGCUUCGCCUCGCCUAGCCGCCGUUUCCACGUGUAGGACCACAGACCCUCACACCUCCAGGAUCUUGACCUCCCAGGGGGUGAAUUGUUUGAGGACGAUCAAAGCCACUGAAGUUUUCUAUUGCCAUGGACCCAGUUGUUUAGGUUUCCAUACAAAGAAGCAAAGAUGAAUGAGUGAAAGAUGCUCUCUCAACCUCAUCCUUGGUGAAGAGUGUUCUGUGAUUGCUGUCACUGAGGUCUGCGGUGCACAGGCGUGGCCCUGGAGCCACAGGAAAACAAUCUCCACCCCUGGUUGAUACUGGCCUCUGCAGCAAGGACUCCCACAACUGUCUGUGCACAGAUGUCUUGGGAUCUGAGCCCCACAACAUCCCGCACAGCAGACUGAACACUCUUCGAGGAUUUACACAGAAAAGAACAUGGGUUUUGGAACAAGACAAAACUAGGAGGCAACCUCACCAAUUCCUUAACCCUGGGCAACUUUCUUUGUCUCUCUCUGGGCCUCAGUUUCCCCACCUGUAAAAUGAGGAGAGCAGCUCCUCCCCACAGGCUGUUGUGAGGAUUAAACGAGAAAGUGCGUGAGGCGCCUGCAUAGUAAUCUUCACUAAAUUUGGGUGGAAUGAACGACCUUCUUGCCCGGGAAGCUUCCCGGGGUCUGGGUGGGCCCCGGAGUCUGGAAGGCCAUGGGGCCAUUCCCAGACGAUGAGUCAGCCCCUCGCAGAACCUGGCUGUGCCUGAGGCUAAGGCCUCUCUCUGCACCCUUCACCCUCAUCCAGCAGAUCCUUCUGAGUGCCUGCUGCAUGCCUCUGCCUGCUCAGCCCCUCGCCCCACUCAGCACUGUGCAGUCCACGGGAAGGGAGGGCCAGCCUGGUCAGGGCGGAUGGCUGAGAGGGUGAGUGACUCCAUGAGCCAGUUUCCUGGUCUGCUGCAACAGAACACCACAGACUGGGUGCCAGGAGCAGCAGAAACCCAUUCUCCCAGGCCUGGAGGCCAGAAGUCCAAGACCAAGGUGCCAGCAGGAACGGUUCCCUCUGAGCCUCACAGGGAGAAUCUGUCCUAGGCCUCUCCAACUUCUGGUGACAGCCAGCAAUCCCUGGCAUUCCUUGGCUUGUAGACGCAUCACUGUAACCUCUGCCUCUGUCCUUACAUGGCGUUCCCCUGUAUCUGUCCUCAUGUGGUGUUUUCCUCUUAUAAGGACCAUAUUGGCUUAGAGCCCAUCCUAAGCUCAUCCUGACCUGACUAAUUACAUCUGCAACAACCCUAUUUCCAGAGAAGCUCACAUUCUGAGCUCCCAGGAAUGACAUAGAUUCUGGGGACAGAGACAACAUGGCAGAGGGUAUUAAGCUCUGAAAUUGUGGCCUGGAGUCCUAUUAAAGGGCCUGCCUACCUCAUAGGCUGUUGCAGGGCUUCAGUGAGGAGGGUACCUGGAACGGAGCCUGGUUCACAGCAAGUUCUCGGUUAGGAUUGGCUUCAGUCGUUCCAAUGUGGUGAAGAAGAGAGAAAUCCUAAAAAGCCCCUCUCAGUCAGAGAAUGAUGGACCACCUGCUCCUCUGCCUCUGGGGUAUUUACGUAAAUUCCAUAAGUUACACGGCACACUUGCAUUCAGUGGAUUUCUCAGAUCUCAAGGUUUCCCUGUGCCCGGAUGACAAAGUCAGGCAGCAGAAGGCAUGUCCGAGAGAGCCGUCCAGCUGAGAAAUGCUCUUCCCAGCCAUGGGCCCUGGGCACAGACUGAGCAUCCCCCAGUCCCCCCGCUGACGCUCGUGUCUGGAGCCCUGGGGCCUUCAUGGUGACUGCAGGAAGCCUGAAGCCCAAAUCCAGGAGACAGGGUGUCAUGUCUCACUCCUGCACAUGGCCCUUGUGUCAGUCGGGUCCCAGCAGGACUCAGGUGCACAUGCGUAGGGUUGAGCAGAGGAGAGGUUAACUGAGCAGCACUCAGAGGUGAGUGAGCUCAGGAAACCUGAAAGGACCAGGGGAGCGAGGACUCCCCUCUGCGCAUCCGCACCCAUCCAAGGCCUUGGAAGGCAAGGGAGGGACAAGUCCUGUAACUCCAGGCAACUGGAGCACACUGGGGGGUCUUGGAGACUCUCCAUUCGGAAGUCAGUCCCCUGGACGGUGGCAGCGAGGGGCAGAGGCGGAUCUGGAGAAGAACGGUGAGCACUGCGUUCACUCAGUGUUGACUACACCAGUGAGCAGGGCCCCCACCCUGAGAAACCCGUAGUCUGGGGAAAACAGGCUUGUAAAGAAGCCACCUGGAUAGCAGGUGAUCAUAAUCGAUGGGUCCACAGCCACCAGGGAACAGCAGAUAACUCAAAACCACGGUGAAUUACUUCUCUCUAGAAACAUCCUGAGUCCCCCCCACUGCAGGGAAUUUCUCCCUGCCCCUCCAUCCUGGAGCCGUCUGCCCUCUUUGGGCACCUGAAGCCACUGUCUCCCCAACCGGUCAGGCGAAAACAGACACUGUUGGUUUAUUGGUCACGGGGAUGUAUUGAGGGGCUAGCUAUUCCAUGCUGAGCUGAAGGCUAAUUGGGCGAGAUGCGUCUCUGCCUUGUGGACACCAAUGGAAAGAGUAAGUGUGUGUGCAUGUGUGUGUACUCUGCAUACACACAACGCAAAAUACACCUCAGCUAAAGGGAAUUCCUGGGGAGAAUUCCCAAGCGAGGGGAGACCACAGGCCCCGGCUAAAUAAAGGACGGCAUCCUCGCCAGAAUGGGACAGCUGGGGAGGCUUUCACAGUAAGACGGGGGUGGGGGGGGUGCCCCAGUAGGAGUAGGCCUCUGACAAACACUUGUCGAGUUGAGUGUAUACCAAAGGCGCCUCCCAGGGGGAGAGCAAAGCUUCUCGCUGAGGAAUCCUGUAAGCAGAUAUUUUUAUUCUUACUAAUUUUGUGUUUUCUGGAUUUAAUAAACACUUAUUCAGACUCCAUCCAAGAUAUCUGAUAUCAUCCCUCAACACAUACAUAACAAGUCACUGAGGCUGGCACUCCUGAGCUUUCCUGGCCUCCUGGGACUACGUCGUGGGGGUGGUUGUCUAGACGACGUGGGACCUCUUCCCGGGAGGAGGGCUUCUGCCUUCGUGCGGAAGGUGGACAGCGUAGGCAAACCGAGGCCAUGAAGAACAUGGAAAAGUCCCCUUCUCCUCAAGAGCGCAUUAUUGCCGUAAAAUGCAGAAGUCUCCACAAACAGCGUGGAAGGACUGCCAGGGCCCCCUCGAGCUCU
Molecule: long non-coding RNA, 3389 nt
Organism: Diceros bicornis minor
Lineage: Eukaryota; Metazoa; Chordata; Mammalia; Perissodactyla; Rhinocerotidae
Exons: 5
Source: RefSeq, a predicted model, not a curated record